AGAGUUUGAUCAUGGCUCAGAACGUACGCUGGCGGCACGCCUAACACAUGCAAGUCGAACGCAGUAGCAAUACUGAGUGGCAGACGGGUGAGUAACACGUGGGAAUCUGCCUUGUGGUUCAGGACAACAUUGGGAAACCGAUGCUAAUACUGGAUAAGCCCUUACGGGGAAAGUUUUAAUGCCAUAAGAUGAGCCCGCAUUUGAUUAGUUAGUUGGUGAGGUAAUGGCUCACCAAGACAAUGAUCAAUAGCUGAUCUGAGAGGAUGAUCAGCCACACUGGGACUGAGACACGGCCCAGACUCCUACGGGAGGCAGCAGUGGGGAAUCUUGCACAAUGGAGGAAACUCUGAUGCAGCGAUGCCGCGUGAGUGAAGAAGGCCUUUGGGUUGUAAAGCUCUUUUGUAGGGGAAGAUAAUGACUGUACCCUAAGAAUAAGGUCCGGCUAACUUCGUGCCAGCAGCCGCGGUAAUACGAAGGGACCUAGCGUAGUUCGGAAUUACUGGGCGUAAAGCGCGCGUAGGCCGUUGAGUUAGUUAAUUGUGAAAUCCCAAAGCUUAACUUUGGAACUGCAAUUAAAACUGCUCGACUAGAGUUUGAUAGAGGAAAGCGGAAUACAUAGUGUAGAGGUGAAAUUCGUAGAUAUUAUGUAGAACACCAGUUGCGAAGGCGGCUUUCUGGAUCAACACUGACGCUGAGGCGCGAAAGUAUGGGUAGCAAAGAGGAUUAGAUACCCUCGUAGUCCAUACCAUAAACGAUGAUUGCUAGAUGUUGGAAAUUUAUUUUCAGUAUCGCAGCUAACGCAUUAAGCAAUCCGCCUGGGGAGUACGACCGCAA
RNAcentral lists this ribosomal RNA (834 nucleotides) under uncultured bacterium. RNAcentral's name for it is "bacterial SSU rRNA". It matches the Rfam family "Bacterial small subunit ribosomal RNA", at positions 8 to 891 of the family's 1533-position model. The record is from RNAcentral.